CGGGUUUUGUAAGAAACGUAAGAAGGCCCGAGCCGUAGCGAAUUCCGGUCCCAGUGUGAGGUUGCCCAUCUGGACUCCACUUGCGGGACCCGCAUCCGUUUCCUCCGUGAGUCCGUCGUCGAGGCUCCUUUCCCGGGUCAUAAUAGUACUGCAUGUCAUAUAUUUAAUAUUUUUAACCUCUCGGUGGCAUCUUAUCUUAUAAAAGGUAU
Molecule: long non-coding RNA, 209 nt
Filed under: Elaeis guineensis (African oil palm)
Lineage: Eukaryota; Viridiplantae; Streptophyta; Magnoliopsida; Arecales; Arecaceae
Description: long non-coding RNA (EGUI_LNC019194)
Source: RNAcentral